This 253-nucleotide ribosomal RNA is filed under the name uncultured bacterium. RNAcentral describes it as "partial 16S ribosomal RNA". It matches the Rfam family "Bacterial small subunit ribosomal RNA", at positions 524 to 776 of the family's 1533-position model. The record is from RNAcentral.
UACGUAGGGUGCGAGCGUUGUCCGGAAUUAUUGGGCGUAAAGGGCUCGUAGGCGGUUUGUCGCGUCGGGAGUGAAAUCCACUGGCUUAACUGGUGGCUUGCUUUCGAUACGGGCAGACUGGAGGUAUGCAGGGGAGAACGGAAUUCCUGGUGUAGCGGUGAAAUGCGCAGAUAUCAGGAGGAACACCGGUGGCGAAGGCGGUUCUCUGGGACGACACUGACGCUGAGACGCGAAAGCGUGGGGAGCGAACAGG